CUCAAGGUACAGCUAAAUCAUCAUCAUCCUCCGACGGCCGUCCAAGGCUAGCCAACGCCUCUGGCGAUGAAUCGAUGGACUGCGAACAAGCAGAAGCAGAAUCUGUGGAGAAGUCAGAUAUUGAGCUACCCAACAAUAGUCUCAAUGGCACUACUACGACUUCUACAGUUGAAAAACUGAGAAAACGGUUUCUUGAUAAGAUCGGUAUCGUCAAGAAUAUCACGUAGAUGGUAGAUGAUAAAACCACGAUGUCAACAGCUUUAAAACAACUGGAAAAUAUUCAGCUAAUGCUAAAGAAGAGCUGCUCUUCAACGCACGGUAUUCCUCUCAGAACAAGCCCAGUCGAGAAGAAGUUAAAGAUCACGUCAACGGAAUACCAUCAAGUAUUUCACAAGAAAUUGCCCCCUAGACGACGCUGGAAAAAGAAGACUCCGAAGGCUGAUGUGAUUUUCAUUGAAGAAGACAGCAAUGACGAUGUUGAUGAUGAUGAUGCUAAGAGGAAGGCAACCAACUUUUUCGUUGCAGACUUAACUGCGAGUGGUGACGGAGAGCAGAACACUGUUUCGCAGGAUGAUGAAGCAAACACUACCCGUUUAGAUCUUGAAACGCUAGGGUUAGGCCAUAAGUUCUCUGAUAAAUACGGUUCUGGAUCGAAAGCAGAAAACUAGAUAUUAUUUCGAUCCCAUGAAUGGGCGUGUACACACCAUUUUUAGCACCUCAGUUCCUAAGAGCAAACUGAUAGAAUUGAUCGAUGACAUCAGUGCCAUUGCUGAUCUCAAAACGGGAUGGAAUUGCAAGUCAUGGCUAUGUGUUGAACCACUACAUUACACACAGACCGAUAGCUAUAACUAUGGUGUGAUUGUAUGUCUUGUGAGUAGCAUAAUCACUUGCUAAAGCUCACUUUAAUAGGACUGCUUCCUGGUUUCGAAUGUAUUAAAUUUCUCUUUGUUUGUUUUAA
This 958-nucleotide unclassified non-coding RNA is filed under the name Pocillopora damicornis (cauliflower coral). RNAcentral describes it as "uncharacterized LOC113668915, transcript variant X1". The record is from RNAcentral. Lineage: Eukaryota; Metazoa; Cnidaria; Anthozoa; Scleractinia; Pocilloporidae.